Molecule: non-coding RNA, 2397 nt
Organism: Malus domestica (apple)
Lineage: Eukaryota; Viridiplantae; Streptophyta; Magnoliopsida; Rosales; Rosaceae
Source: RefSeq, a predicted model, not a curated record
UUGUUUGGUCUUUUUGCAAGAAAUAAAAAAUGUGAAUGCCGUCCAGAUUCAAAGAAAUUCGUCGAGCAGCUUUAAUUUCAUGAUUAAUUUGGUCCUCGCUAAAUGAAUCAAAGAUCACAAGACUAGAACCAAUGGUUUCCAGAAAAAAGGUUGGUUCUAGAAUAUUUUCAUUUAUGCUUUUUCAGUUCUUUGAAUGGACUUCCUAUAAUCCAAAAUGAGCUAUUGAACAACUCUUGCUGCAUUGUGUUUGCAAAUCAAUAUUUAGGCUAAUAAUUGAAGGCUGAUUCUUUUUUGUUGAAAGAUGUAAUUUGGUUUUGUACGUAAAGAUUGCAAAUUUGAUUCAGGUAUGAAUACUUACACUUGUUCGUCUUUGUGUUUUCUCCUUCUUUUAAGAAAUUACAUUUCCUUUCACAUCUUCAACCAAAACCAUUCAGCAAACAAACAUAUUCAUGGAGGAGGUUGUUGGUUCAAGUACCAAUUUCAAGCAUCGAUACUCCGACUUUGUAUCAACAUUUUUGGGAUUGCAUAGGUUAUUUUUAGGAGUUGACAUAAAUGAAAAAAAAUUGUUUAGUUUUCAUAAGUGCUUAUCUAUCAUUGUUACUGGGCAAUAAUUUCUUUUACUGCCUUACAUAUUUUGCCUUAUUAGGCUGACCUUCAUUUGGUCUUGCAGUUUUAGUUAUCAAUUCAAUUCCUCCAUUGCUAAUAUGGAUUCCCCAUCAUGGUGUUUAAUUUUGUUUUAUUAUUGGCUUUAGGAAAUCAUGGUUCUUUGGAAUUUGGACCUUUUGUUUGCAGCCUUUAGAUCCUUAUCUAUUUAAGAUAAAUGUUUUCUUCGCAAUAAUUGGCAAAAAAGAAAGAUAAGUUUCAUCAUUUUGCUUUCUCUUUUAUGUCAACUUACUUCACUUCAACCAAAAUUUUACAUAUUUUGUUAACUUUUUUCUUACAAAAUUUAUCCUUUACUUUAAUAUCCCUUGCAUAUCGACUGCAAACACAAUAAUAAUUCAACAGUAUGACAAGCAAGAAAAAGAAUCUUCACCAUAUUAUAAAUUUCGUCAACUCAGGUGGCGCUGUAGGAGCCUCAAGCAAGUUCAGCAGUGGAUGCUUUCACUAACUUGAAGAAUCUUCUGAUACCAUCACUGACGACUACCCAUACCUCUCCGAGGGCAUGAGACAGGUAAUUUUUCCAUUCAGUUUUUAUCUAGGUAAUUUUCGUGGCUGCCAUUCUAUGAUGAUGCAGGUAAAAAGUUGAUUUCCUAUUUUUACGGGCUAUAGCUAUUGUUAAUGUUUUGGCGAAGAAGGCUAACAUUCCAAGAAAAAGUAUGUAGAGCUUUUUUUUUUUUACUGUAAAUGCCCCUUUAGAAUUUAUUCAAUACAUGUCGCAUAGCAAUAUACAACUUUGUGUUGUUUUGUAGUGAUCGAUGAACAAAAACCCAGCUUUUGACCAUCUACUGACAUCUGUCUAAAGAACACUUUGCUCUUCAUUUUCUAGGGUUUUUGUCUACAGCUUUCGAAACCCUUUAUGCUCAAGGAACCGCAAUGUAGAUAUAAAAUCAGUGUUAUUCCAGACAAAACCUUUAUUCACAACAUUGGGUAUGAUUGUUUUGUACCUAAUUUGAAACAAUUUACUACAACAAUUUUUUUUAUAUAUAUUUUAAACAUAAUCUUUCAUGCAUUUUCUAAUCUCGUAGCUUUCUAGUGUGAUACUGAUUCCUAGCUAAUGGGUGGUUUGGGAGUGAGGUGCUUAAAAAAAAAAACACCCAUGAAAAAAAGCUGUCAGGGUUUUAGGUGUUUGGUAAAAUGAAAAAAAAAAAGCUUAUUUUGGAAGCUGCUGUGAGAAUAAGCUGAAAUCAAAGGAAAAAGCUGAAGCUGCUAUUUGCAGUUUUGAAAAAUUGGAUUUUUUUCAAAGCACACGGAACUACAGCGCUCCUUUAAUGAAAGGACCCACUAUUAGACUUUUUUUUUUCCAAAAGCACUUUUACAAAAAAGUUUACCAAACACUGCUGAUUUAUUUCACAGCCACUUAUUCUCACAGCAGCUUUUUUUCAAAGCACAGCAAUACCAAACCAGCCCUAAGUCUCUGACUGCUCUGCUCAAGGAUGUUUCCCGUCUUUUGUUAAUCUAUAUUAAAUGAUGUUUAACAUGUUUAAAAACCUAUAAAUAUCUUUUUUUUGCUCAGGAGUCGGGACUCAACAAUAUGUUUUGCAUCUCCUCAUUUUUUGUAUGCAAAUGCUAUAACAGGUUGCCCAUUACAUGGGGCUAUUAGGACAAAAUGAAUUAUUAUAAUGUUUUUUGUAUCUUUGUACCAGGAUUUCUUAAUUUUUGUAACUGAAUGCGACCCUCCUGGUCCAAAGAUACACACAACUGCUACAAUGGAAUGAAUAACUGUAAUAUCUUUCUUUA